Molecule: long non-coding RNA, 1859 nt
Filed under: Mus musculus (house mouse)
Lineage: Eukaryota; Metazoa; Chordata; Mammalia; Rodentia; Muridae
Description: RIKEN cDNA 1810073O08 gene (1810073O08Rik)
Source: RNAcentral
AGGGCUUCUUACACACCUGCUGCCAAAAGGAGGGACAUGAAGAGUAGCCAGGCUGCCAGACCUCAAGGUGUUUCUGAGUUUAUGACAGGAUGACCAGACACCUGAUGAGAAGGAUGCCAAGCUCCUGACAGGAGAAGAAGCAAAGGAUGAAUGCCAGAGGGGCCAUCAUGGGUUCGACCAUCCUUCUAAUAGCGUUGCAUUGGGGACCAAGUCUCUAGUAUCUGUGAGAUAAAUCAUACCCCAGACAUGGCAGAAGAACUACAAAUGAAAGGAGUUACAAGAAGUCUGCAGAGCUUUGGAGCUCGGUACCAGUGGAGGUAUGAAGAGGAAAGCCAGCUCCCAUGAUGGUUGCCAGCCUGCAUACAGAGACUACCCUAUCUCUGCUCCCGCUGCUUCCUCUCCCCAUGCCCCUGCAGAGGGACUAUCCCCUCCUGAGGCUUGUUGGAGAUCUGGUUCUGUGUCUUGCAAUUGCUCUUAAGAGUGUUAGGGUGUGGAUUGGAGAGAUGGCUUAGCAGUUAAGAGUGCUUGCUUCUUUCCCAGAGGAUUCAGGUUUGGAUCCUAGAGCUCACACCAGGCAGCUCUCAACCACCUGCAGCCCUGUAAAACCGUGGGAACUAAUGCUGGCUUCUGGCUUCCAGGGGCACCUGCACACACGUGGUAGCUACACAGACACAUAAAUAACUCCCUGUCUUAAGUAAAGAGGUGUGUGUGUGUGUGUGUGUGUGUGUGUGUGUGUGUGUGUAUUUUGGGGGUUGGUGAUAACCACCUUCGGUGACCCGGCCUGGGGCUUUGAAGUCCUCUUUCUAAAUGGGAGCUCCAGGCACAAGCAGCCUAGAGUUAUUAGGCACAGGUUUAUCUGGGGCUAAUUUAACUUGUUAAGAUAAUUGUGCCAGAGGCUGCAGCUCUGAGGUCUUCACCUUUAUAAUUACCCUUUUCUGGGUCUCUUUCAUCUCUAAAGACUAUGCCCCUCUAUGGAGCUUGCUGUCUCUCACCCCUCCUUCCAGAGCUUGGGGGCAGGUCCUACCGAUGCUUUCACAAGGGCUUGUGUGUUUGUGUAAAAUGUGUAGAAGGGUUAUUCCAGGUGCAGUCAUUCGAAGCCACUGACUCUUUCUCACUUCAACUUCCCCUCUGCCACAUUUUUCCUGCUGUCAAUUGGAAGUGGAACUGGGAACAUUUGGGGGAUCUAACUCCCCAAAACUUGAUCCAGAACUGCGCAGAAUAUGAGGAGUAGGAUGACUUCAAGCUGUAUGCUAUGCAUGCACAUAUGGUUCCAUGGGUGAGCUCAGUCGCGUCUGAGCAUGUUAGUUAAAGUUACUCCAGAGGAAUGGUUUCCUGGAAAACUCCCGCCUCCCGUGGUGAUGUGGUGAAAGCCAGUAAGAGAGGCCUGUGGGGAGUGACAGAGAAACCAGGUUUAAAGUGCAGAGCCAGGAGCUAGUCUGAGGAAAGUUCCUUCAGUUGAACAGUUCUUUUAUAAAAUUUGAUAGAGUUUACUACCAAAUUUGCGUGAUAUUUGCGUAAUAUCAGGAUAAUUUUGUGCGUCAGCUCAGAUACUUUGGGGUCUGUCAUGAAGGAGCUGCCAGGAGUGAUUAGCACUUGCCUUGGUAGGCUAAGAAGAUGGCCCUCAUUCAGGCAGAGGUUCAUUCUGCUAAGUGCCUGAACUGAAGUGCAAAGACAGGGGGACCUAGUACUCAAGUCCUUGGAUCCGGACUGAAUGGUGUCACCAGCUCUUCUGACUUUCCAGUGUGAACCUGGAAGUUGGAGAGACUUCUGAGCCUCCAUAUUUCUAAGAGCCAGUUUUCCUCUGUCCCUCCUUCACUGUGACAAACUCCUCCCUGAAUAAAAUGGAGAAAGCCGGCCAA